UGUACUAAGGUGUAGUUUAUGCAUAAAAGUUUUUGGUGCUUUAGGAGCUUGAAAGUGCAAGCUAGUACAA
Molecule: transfer RNA, 70 nt
Filed under: Magallana angulata
Lineage: Eukaryota; Metazoa; Mollusca; Bivalvia; Ostreida; Ostreidae
Description: tRNA-Gln
Source: RNAcentral